GAUGAACGCUGGCGGCGUGCUUAACACAUGCAAGUCGAACGGAAAGGCUCCUGCUUGCAGGGGUACUCGAGUGGCGAACGGGUGAGUAACACGUGGGUGAUCUGCCCUGCACUUCGGGAUAAGCCUGGGAAACUGGGUCUAAUACCGGAUAGGACGACGGUUUGGAUGCCAUUGUGGAAAGUUUUUUCGGUGUGGGAUGAGCUCGCGGCCUAUCAGCUUGUUGGUGGGGUAAUGGCCUACCAAGGCGUCGACGGGUAGCCGGCCUGAGAGGGUGUACGGCCACAUUGGGACUGAGAUACGGCCCAGACUCCUACGGGAGGCAGCAGUGGGGAAUAUUGCACAAUGGGCGCAAGCCUGAUGCAGCGACGCCGCGUGGGGGAUGACGGCCUUCGGGUUGUAAACUCCUUUCGCUAGGGACGAAGCGCAAGUGACGGUACCUGGAGAAGAAGCACCGGCUAACUACGUG
RNAcentral lists this ribosomal RNA (466 nucleotides) under uncultured bacterium. RNAcentral's name for it is "partial 16S ribosomal RNA". It matches the Rfam family "Bacterial small subunit ribosomal RNA", at positions 28 to 507 of the family's 1533-position model. The record is from RNAcentral.